This 25-nucleotide non-coding RNA is filed under the name Rattus norvegicus (Norway rat). The record is from RNAcentral. Lineage: Eukaryota; Metazoa; Chordata; Mammalia; Rodentia; Muridae.
UAAAAAUUGGCCCUGGGACACGUGU